AUCGAGCUUAAACUCCCAACCCCUGUGACAUACCUUACUGUUGCCUCGGCGGAUCAGCCCGCUCCCGGUAAAACGGGACGGCCCGCCAGAGGACCCCUAAACUCUGUUUCUAUAUGUAACUUCUGAGUAAAACCAUAAAUAAAUCAAAACUUUCAACAACGGAUCUCUUGGUUCUGGCAUCGAUGAAGAACGCAGCAAAAUGCGAUAAGUAAUGUGAAUUGCAGAAUUCAGUGAAUCAUCGAAUCUUUGAACGCACAUUGCGCCCGCCAGUAUUCUGGCGGGCAUGCCUGUUCGAGCGUCAUUUCAACCCUCAAGCCCUCGGGUUUGGUGUUGGGGAUCGGCGAGCCUUUCUGGCAAGCCGGCCCCGAAAUCUAGUGGCGGUCUCGCUGCAGCCUCCAUUGCGUAGUAGUAAAACCCUCGCAACUGGAACGCGGCGCGGCCAAGCCGUUAAACCCCCAACUUCUGAAUGUUGACCUCGGAUCAGGUAGGAAUACCCGCUGAACUUAAGCAUAUCAAA
This 517-nucleotide ribosomal RNA is filed under the name Fusarium redolens. Its description in RNAcentral is "eukaryotic LSU rRNA". The stretch from base 148 to 301 matches the Rfam family "5.8S ribosomal RNA". Lineage: Eukaryota; Fungi; Ascomycota; Sordariomycetes; Hypocreales; Nectriaceae. The record is from RNAcentral.